Molecule: microRNA precursor, 82 nt
Filed under: Canis lupus familiaris (dog)
Lineage: Eukaryota; Metazoa; Chordata; Mammalia; Carnivora; Canidae
Description: mir-8799 microRNA precursor family
Rfam family: mir-8799 microRNA precursor family
Source: Rfam by way of RNAcentral
GGGGGGAGGCUGGAUCCUGGGCUCUGUCCCAGUGCUCCCGGGCCUGCGCUGUUGGGUUCGCGCUCCCGCCACGCAGCCCCCU